Molecule: long non-coding RNA, 142 nt
Organism: Catharus ustulatus (Swainson's thrush)
Lineage: Eukaryota; Metazoa; Chordata; Aves; Passeriformes; Turdidae
Exons: 3
Source: RefSeq, a predicted model, not a curated record
CAGGGGUGGGGGAGGGGAAGGAGGAGAAGCCGCUGGCCGAGCAGGUGAAACGCUCCACCCUGAACCCCCACGCCAAGGAAUUCAGCCCCGGGCGGCCCCUGGCCAAGGCCCCGCCCAGCGCCGCCCCCUCCCCCACCCCCCG